UACGGAGGAUGCAAGCGUUAUCCGGAAUGAUUGGGCGUAAAGCGUCCGCAGGUGGCAAUGUAAGUCUGCUGUUAAAGAGUCUAGCUCAACUAGAUAAAAGCAGUGGAAACUACAUAGCUAGAGUACGUUCGGGGCAGAGGGAAUUCCAGGUGUAGCGGUGAAAUGCGUAGAUAUCUGGAGGAACACCGGUGGCGAAGGCGGCAUCCUGGACCGGCAUUGACGCUGAGGAGCGAAAGCCAGGGGAGCAAACGGG
This 253-nucleotide ribosomal RNA is filed under the name uncultured bacterium. RNAcentral's name for it is "partial 16S ribosomal RNA". It matches the Rfam family "Bacterial small subunit ribosomal RNA", at positions 524 to 776 of the family's 1533-position model. The record is from RNAcentral.